GAAUUUUGGACAAUGGGCGAAAGCCUGAUCCAGCAAUGCCGCGUGCCGGAUGAAGGCAUUCGGGAUGUAAACUGCUUUUGUACGGAAAGAAAAGCUUUGGGUUCAUACCAUGGAGUAAUGACGGUACAGUAAGAAUAAGCAACGGCUAACUACGUGACCGCAGCCGCGGUAAUACGUAGGGGGCAAGCGUUAAUCGGAAUUAAUGGGCGUAAGGAGUGCGCAGGCGGGUUUUUAAGACAGUGGUGAAAGCCCCAUGCUCGACCUGGGAACUGCCUUUGUGACUGCAAGGCUAGAGUACGGCAUAGGAGGGUGGAAUUCCGCGUGUAGCAGUGAAAUGCGUAGAUAUGCUGAGGAACACCGAUGGCGAAGGCCACCCCCUGGGCCUGUACUGACGCUCAUGCACGAAAGCGUGGUGAGCAAAC
Molecule: ribosomal RNA, 422 nt
Filed under: uncultured bacterium
Lineage: Bacteria
Description: partial 16S ribosomal RNA
Rfam family: Bacterial small subunit ribosomal RNA
Source: RNAcentral